Non-coding RNA from Stegodyphus mimosarum, 73 nucleotides. The record is from Rfam. Lineage: Eukaryota; Metazoa; Arthropoda; Arachnida; Araneae; Eresidae.
GCUUUCGUGGUGUAGCGAUCAGCACACUCGGCCCCUAUUCGAGAGGUCUGUGGUUCGAGUCCCGGCGAGGGCA